AGCAUAUUAAUAAGCGGAGGAAAAGAAACCAACCGGGAUUCCCUCAGUAGCGGCGAGCGAACAGGGAGAAGCCCAGGACCGAAUCCUGCAGUGAAUGCUGUUUGGAAAUGUGGUCUUCGGAUCAGUGCUCACGGCGUGGCGGAGGUGUUCUAAGUUCACGUGAUUGUGGCUUCAAUCCCACAGAGGGUGUAAGGCCCGUAAGAACACUACUCUGCGUCCUGGCAUUGUUCCUAGAGUAGGGUUGUUUGGGAAUGCAGCCCGAAUCGGGUGGUAAACUCCAUCCAAGGCUAAAUACAACACGAGUCCGAUAGUCAACAAGUACCAUGAGGGAAAGUUGAAAAGAACUUUGAAGAGAGAGUUCAACAGUACGUGAAACCGGCGGCACUAUAAACGGACGGAACCGAAGGUGUGUGUGAAGGUGGUGCUUCAUUGUUUCUUGACGUGCGGUUUGGGAUGGCUCUCCACUCUUUCCGUAUGGCAGGUGCAGUGUUGUAUUAUUCUUCAUGCACGACACCACGAUCGGUAAGUAGGAGGGCCUGUCAUUUUGAGGAAGGUGACCUGAGAUCCUUCUCGGGUGUUAUAGCCUCAUUUUGCAGCGCCAGCCGAGUACCGCGCGACAUUUUGGCGUGCGUUCAAGUUCUUGCGUUUUGUGAGGCGGCCUCUCCCUAUCCUUGGAAUAUGGUUGGGUCUGUCUUGCUGGCGCGAGGGUCUCUGUGCGUACGGUAAAAUUGUGGUGCAUUAGGCAAUCCGUCCGACCCGUCUUGAAACACGGACCAAGGAGUUUAGCAUGUGCGCAAGUCAUUGGGUGCUACGAAACCUAAAGGCGCAGUGAAAGUAAAGACCUGUACCAUUACAGGUUGAGGUAGGAUCCCGGUUUCAUUGUGUGGCAACAUACAUGAGCUGGGCGCACUACCAGCUCGUCCCAUGUUCUAUUGAGCGGGGCGACGCAAGAGCGCACAUGCUGAGACCCGAAAGAUGGUGAACUAUGCUUGCGUAGGCUGAAGCCAGAGGAAACUCUGGUGGAGGGCCGUAGCGGUUCUGACGUGCAAAUCGAUCGUCAAACGUGAGCAUAGGGGCGAAAGACUAAUCGAACCAUCUAGUAGCUGGUUCCCUCCGAAGUUUCCCUCAGGAUAGCUGGCACUCGGGAAACAAACAGUUUUAUCCGGUAAAGCGAAUGAUUAGCAGUAUUGGGGGUGAAAUAUCCUCAACUGAUUCUCAAACUUUAAAUGGGUGAGAUGCAUGGCUCACUUAAUUGGAGUUGUGCAUUGAAUGCGAGUGCCAAGUGGGCCAUUUUUGGUAAGCAGAACCGGCGCUGUGGGAUGAACCAAACGUCUGGUUACGGAGCCAAACAUGACGCUCAUCAGAAACCACAAAAGGUGUUGGUUGAUACUGACAGCAGGACGGUGGCCAUGGAAGUCGGAAUCCGCUAAGGAGUGUGUAACAACUCACCUGCCGAAUCAACCAGCCCUGAAAAUGGAUGGCGCUGGAGCGUCGGUCCUAUACCAGACCGUUACCGCGAAGUCAAUUGUAUGCGGUAACGAGUAGGAGGGCGCCGUGGUGAGCAUUGAAGCCUGGGACGUAAGUCUGGGUGGAGCCGCCACGGGUGCAGAUCUUGGUGGUAGUAGCAAAUAUUCAAGUGAGAACCUUGAA
This 1650-nucleotide ribosomal RNA is filed under the name Prognathorhynchus sinensis. Its description in RNAcentral is "LSU rRNA". It matches the Rfam family "Eukaryotic large subunit ribosomal RNA", at positions 37 to 1488 of the family's 3401-position model. The record is from RNAcentral. Lineage: Eukaryota; Metazoa; Platyhelminthes; Rhabdocoela; Gnathorhynchidae.